UACGUAGGUGGCAAGCGUUGUCCGGAAUUAUUGGGCGUAAAGCGCGCGCAGGCGGUCCUUUAAGUCUGAUGUGAAAGCCCACGGCUCAACCGUGGAGGGUCAUUGGAAACUGGGGGACUUGAGUACAGAAGAGAAGAGUGGAAUUCCACGUGUAGCGGUGAAAUGCGUAGAGAUGUGGAGGAACACCGGUGGCGAAGGCGGCAUCCUGGACCGGUAUUGACGCUGAGGCGCGAAAGCCAGGGGAGCAAACGGG
Molecule: ribosomal RNA, 253 nt
Filed under: uncultured bacterium
Lineage: Bacteria
Description: partial 16S ribosomal RNA
Rfam family: Bacterial small subunit ribosomal RNA
Source: RNAcentral